AAAAUCAAAUAAAUUACGUAGAGAGUUACAGAAUAAGUUUAAUUAG
RNAcentral lists this non-coding RNA (46 nucleotides) under Trypanosoma brucei brucei. Lineage: Eukaryota; Euglenozoa; Kinetoplastea; Trypanosomatida; Trypanosomatidae. The record is from RNAcentral.